RNAcentral lists this small nuclear RNA (117 nucleotides) under Myotis lucifugus (little brown bat). RNAcentral's name for it is "U2 spliceosomal RNA". It matches the Rfam family "U2 spliceosomal RNA". Rfam says of the family: U2 is a small nuclear RNA (snRNA) component of the spliceosome (involved in pre-mRNA splicing). Complementary binding between U2 snRNA (in an area lying towards the 5' end but 3' to hairpin I) and the branchpoint sequence (BPS) of the intron results the bulging out of an unpaired adenosine, on the BPS, which initiates a nucleophilic attack at the intronic 5' splice site, thus starting the first of two transesterification reactions that mediate splicing. Lineage: Eukaryota; Metazoa; Chordata; Mammalia; Chiroptera; Vespertilionidae. The record is from Rfam by way of RNAcentral.
AUCGCUUCUCCGCCUUUUGGCUAAGAUCAAGUGUAGUAUCUGUUCUUAACAGUUUAAUAUCUAAAAAAAAAAAAAAAUCGUACAAGAUGCUACAUGAGGUAGAAAAGGCAACCCAAA